This 1324-nucleotide long non-coding RNA is filed under the name Marmota monax (woodchuck). Lineage: Eukaryota; Metazoa; Chordata; Mammalia; Rodentia; Sciuridae. The record is from RNAcentral.
CAGGAGCCCAGGUGAGGGGGGACGGAAGCCCCAUUCUCAGACUAAAAGGAGCCAGCCAGAGAGACCCCAAGGACAGGCAGAGGGCGCAUCGCCAGAGCGUACAGGAGCAAGUGCGGUUGCCGGGCUGCUGCCUGUCCUCCCUCAUCUGGCCCUCUGGUUUCUAUUUGAGGUCAGCUUCUUCCUCCACUCACAGGGCCCAUCCUGGAUGCACCAUCUCUGUUAGCAUCUGUGUUGCCCGGAGGGUGCUUCCUUGUGUCCUUGAAGCAUUUCCUAAGGUAUGACUCCAACUGUUUGGAUUCCAGGUGUCAUGGAUGCCAACCCAUCAAUCAAAGAUGAACAUCCUUGUCUCCCACAGAGACUAGACUGUUUCCACUUCUGUCUGGAAGGCUCUCCCUGACGAGAGGCGGAGGGCUGUAAUUGCUCUCAAAAUGUAUAAUCACAUCUUACACAUUCCCCAGCACAGAGAAGCAUUUCCAAGUAAGAGAAUCAUAAAAAUACUACAAUAAAUUCUGAAUCUUUGUUUAAAAAAACCUUGCAUAAAAGCCCUGGAAUGUUAGAAAAUCUUCAGAGAUUGAAUGAUUUUCUCUGGAAAGUUGGCAUGUUUGCAAAAACACGGCUGUUAACUCACCUCCUAAUUGGCUUCAGAGUUGCUUGCCUAUCUUAUUUAUAGUUAAUGGCCCACUCUGUACGUGGGAGUCUCUCCUUCAGAGUUAAGCAGCCCGAUUUAAGAGUAAGCUUUCUUCUCUUCACAAGUGUAACAAAGCCAAGACACCCGUACAAUCAGGUUUGCUAAUUUAAUAGUUUGGGAUGUCUUGAUUAUGGUCUAUCCUGGAACUAAGCCUUUCCAGAACAGCCGCCAUCCUUGAUCCAUCUUGGCAUUCUGGAACACACCUGCCACAACCAAGGGCUUCCCAUCCAGUUGGUGAGUCAUUAAAAUAUAUUGAAUGAACACAUAUUCUACCAAGUAAUAGAGAAACAAAACUAAUGAGACUGAAACCUUCUGGCCUCUCAUAUCAAAUGCUAACUUUCAUAUUUGGUCCAGGGUAAUUUUUCACAAAUAGAGCAAUUCAUAAGUUAAGAGGAAGUUAAUGAUGUCCAGAGCACUAGGUAAAAUCUCCCUUAGAAAAGAGAAAAUGCAAUUGGUUUUUCCCCACUUAAUAAACCUUCAAGUCUGCACCCGAAGGCUUUUGAGCUUUGUGUACAUCGGGUUUCCUUAUAGGCACAAAAAGGUAAUAAACACUUACUGUUCAGCAGUUUGUAAAAUGGCAUUGGGGAGCUCUGCCUUCAGAAUGUGUGUGACUUAGAUUGAAUCCACUGUACUCGU